Molecule: transfer RNA, 365 nt
Filed under: uncultured Microcystis sp.
Lineage: Bacteria; Bacillati; Cyanobacteriota; Cyanophyceae; Chroococcales; Microcystaceae
Description: partial 16S-23S ribosomal RNA intergenic spacer
Rfam family: tRNA (bases 136-209)
Source: RNAcentral
AAAGGGAGACCUAAUUCAGGUAGGAGACGAAAAAAAAGUAGUCCCUACCAAGAAUCAAUCCCAAAAGGUCGGAGCGAGGCAAAAUUGGCUUUCAAACUAGGUUCUGGGUUCACACAAGACCUGAAUCAGGAACAAGGGCUAUUAGCUCAGGUGGUUAGAGCGCACCCCUGAUAAGGGUGAGGUCCCUGGUUCGAGUCCAGGAUGGCCCACCUGCACAGGUGGCCAAAACAAAGAAAAAAAGCUCCGAAUCAGCACCUUAUCUUACUUAUAUAGUAAGAGAGAAUGCUGGCUCUGAGUACAGAGUCCAGAGGAACCUUGAAAACUGCAUAGAGCUAGGUGAAAAAGCCAAAAAAGAAGACCGCAAG